RNAcentral lists this ribosomal RNA (512 nucleotides) under uncultured bacterium. Its description in RNAcentral is "partial 16S ribosomal RNA". It matches the Rfam family "Bacterial small subunit ribosomal RNA", at positions 28 to 523 of the family's 1533-position model. The record is from RNAcentral.
GACGAACGCUGGCGGCGUGCCUAAUACAUGCAAGUCGAGCGAAUCUCGAGGAGCUUGCUCCUUGAGAUUAGCGGCGGACGGGUGAGUAACACGUGGGCAACCUGCCUGUAAGACUGGGAUAACACCGGGAAACCGGUGCUAAUACCGGAUAAUUCUUCUCCUCACAUGAGGGGAAGCUGAAAGUCGGUUUCGGCUGACACUUACAGAUGGGCCCGCGGCGCAUUAGCUAGUUGGUGAGGUAACGGCUCACCAAGGCGACGAUGCGUAGCCGACCUGAGAGGGUGAUCGGCCACACUGGGACUGAGACACGGCCCAGACUCCUACGGGAGGCAGCAGUAGGGAAUCUUCCGCAAUGGACGAAAGUCUGACGGAGCAACGCCGCGUGAGUGAUGAAGGCCUUCGGGUCGUAAAACUCUGUUGUUAGGGAAGAACAAGUAUCGGAGUAACUGCCGGUACCUUGACGGUACCUAACCAGAAAGCCACGGCUAACUACGUGCCAGCCGCCGCGGUAA